This 916-nucleotide ribosomal RNA is filed under the name uncultured bacterium. RNAcentral's name for it is "bacterial SSU rRNA". It matches the Rfam family "Bacterial small subunit ribosomal RNA", at positions 53 to 967 of the family's 1533-position model. The record is from RNAcentral.
ACAUGCAAGUCGAACGGCAGCGCGGGGCAACCUGGCGGCGAGUGGCGAACGGGUGAGUAAUAUAUCGGAACGUACCCUGGAGUGGGGGAUAACGUAGCGAAAGUUACGCUAAUACCGCAUACGAUCUAAGGAUGAAAGCAGGGGACCGCAAGGCCUUGUGCUCCUGGAGCGGCCGAUAUCUGAUUAGCUAGUUGGUGGGGUAAAGGCCUACCAAGGCAUCGAUCAGUAGCUGGUCUGAGAGGACGACCAGCCACACUGGUACUGAGACACGGUCCAGACUCCUACGGGAGGCAGCAGUGGGGAAUUUUGGACAAUGGGCGCAAGCCUGAUCCAGCAAUGCCGCGUGAGUGAAGAAGGCCUUCGGGUUGUAAAGCUCUUUUGUCAGGGAAGAAACGGUGGGGGCUAAUAUCCCCUGCUAAUGACGGUACCUGAAGAAUAAGCACCGGCUAACUACGUGCCAGCAGCCGCGGUAAUACGUAGGGUGCAAGCGUUAAUCGGAAUUACUGGGCGUAAAGCGUGCGCAGGCGGUUUUGUAAGUCUGUCGUGAAAUCCCCGGGCUCAACCUGGGAAUUGCGAUGGAGACUGCAAGGCUAGAAUCUGGCAGAGGGGGGUAGAAUUCCACGUGUAGCAGUGAAAUGCGUAGAGAUGUGGAGGAACACCGAUGGCGAAGGCAGCCCCCUGGGUCAAGAUUGACGCUCAUGCACGAAAGCGUGGGGAGCAAACAGGAUUAGAUACCCUGGUGGUCCACGCCCUAAACGAUGUCUACUAGUUGUCGGGUUUUAAUUAACUUGGUAACGCAGCUAACGCGUGAAGUAGACCGCCUGGGGAGUACAGUCGCAAGAUUAAAACUCAAAGGAAUUGACGGGGACCCGCACAAGCGGUGGAUGAUGUGGAUUAAUUCGAUGCAACGCGAAAA